RNAcentral lists this ribosomal RNA (497 nucleotides) under uncultured bacterium. Its description in RNAcentral is "partial 16S ribosomal RNA". It matches the Rfam family "Bacterial small subunit ribosomal RNA", at positions 28 to 507 of the family's 1533-position model. The record is from RNAcentral.
GAUGAACGCUGGCGGCGUGCCUAAUACAUGCAAGUCGAGCGAACAGACGAGGAGCUUGCUCCUCUGACGUUAGCGGCGGACGGGUGAGUAACACGUGGAUAACCUACCUAUAAGACUGGGAUAACUUCGGGAAACCGGAGCUAAUACCGGAUAAUAUAUUGAACCGCAUGGUUCAAUAGUGAAAGACGGUUUUGCUGUCACUUAUAGAUGGAUCCGCGCCGCAUUAGCUAGUUGGUAAGGUAACGGCUUACCAAGGCAACGAUGCGUAGCCGACCUGAGAGGGGGAUCGGCCACACUGGAACUGAGACACGGUCCAGACUCCUACGGGAGGCAGCAGUAGGGAAUCUGACGCAAUGGGCGAAAGCCUGACGGAGCAACGCCGCGUGAGUGAUGAAGGUCUUCGGAUCGUAAAACUCUGUUAUUAGGGAAGAACAAAUGUGUAAGUAACUAUGCACGUCUUGACGGUACCUAAUCAGAAAGCCACGGCUAACUACGUG